UUCAUUUAUUAUUAUUUAUUCCCCGCACAUCAUGCACAGGGGCCAUACUUUACUAUAUAAAACAAAGGAUAAUACAACUUGAGCAAGGAAACAUUAUUUCCUCCUCUUUACAUAAGUUCCUUCGAUCACUCUUCCUGCAUCAAACCACGCACCUUUUACACACAUAAGUUCCCUCAAUCACUCCUUAUACAUCAGACCAGGCAUCCAUGGGAAGCCAAAUCUAAUUUAACCACCAUGGGCGUCCAAAGGCAGCCUCAGGGCGGUAUUCAGGGUCCGGGAUCUCAUCGGGGUAGGCGCAGCACCGGCAGCCACCAUAGUAUCCGCGACGGCAGCAACCGUUGUAGCAGCGACCGCCGCCACCACCA
This 365-nucleotide unclassified non-coding RNA is filed under the name Hevea brasiliensis (rubber tree). The record is from RNAcentral. Lineage: Eukaryota; Viridiplantae; Streptophyta; Magnoliopsida; Malpighiales; Euphorbiaceae.